AUUUAAACGUCUUGGCUUGAUAUUGUUUCAAUGUCUGAUCAAUCACAGAUUCUUUGGUUUUUAUGGUGCUGCUUUUCUUUUUUAAAGAUGCACAUUAAAAUGGGUGGUACAAUCCUUUUCCACUGUCCUUUUCAGUGCUCUCUCCUGCUGUCCAGCUCUGCUCUCCUCCUCUCACUGUAGCAAAGUCCCUUCAUAAUGAAUGACAGUGUAGGAUAAUAGCCUGGUGUUGCCAUGGAAACCGUACAGCAAUUGCAGCAUUUUUUUUAAGGUGGGAAAUGACAGUGGAGGUGAAAAGCACUCUUUCUCCUUCUCUCUCCCCCAUCUCUCCUUCUCUCUCCCUCUUACUCCCCUCCUGACCACCCCCAAUCGUGGUCUCUCUGUCUGUCUGAUACAAGCCUAAUCUCCCAGUGAACUACUGUGCAGUCUGUUAUAAAGCAGAAAAUAGGGGCAUACAUUCAUGUUCAUGUUUCAAUGUUGUUAUUGGUGUCAUUUAUUAAGGAGUAUGGUUGAGCUGUAAUUUGAGCGGGGGACUGUGACAAUGGAGAAUCUGGGAAAACUGUGUACUUAGAAGGAGAACCUAGAUUCUCUUCCAAUACAAUUAUCACAGGCUUUCUAUGCAAAGAGCCUAUGAACGUUCUUGUCACUUUAAAGUUCUCUGGAUAACUUUGAAUGUUUUUUUUUUACUUUCAGAACAUAAUGGAUCAUCAAAGCUGGGAUUAAAAUUUUUGUGGAGGAACAGCUCUGACUGCUGGAAGAUUUAAGCUUAUUAGCUUUAAAACCAGGGAUUGUCUGGCUGGAAGUCAGGCUGGGUCGAUACAGCUGGUACUGAUCCGUACCUGGUUUGUCCCAAUAAGGAAAUCGAAACACUACACUUGCAUUUUAGAUCUUAGUAAUUUAACAGAUGGUCAUAUACUGUGUAAUGUGCAAGCAGUCCAUUCAACUGAUGCAGAUAAAAGACCACAUAUUGCACUACUCAAUUGAAUAUAUUGAUAUAAUUUGUUUCACCAUUGCUUGGGGGAAGAUAUAGAAUCACAGAUACAUUUUCAAAGCAGAUUGUUUUGUAAAUGUUAGAUAGGCACUUUUUUAUAGCAAAUGGUUUUGUAAAUGUCAGAAAGGUACAUUUUAAUUUUGUUAGAUUUUGUUAGAUGGAUACAACAUCAUAGCAGGUUAUUAAUUAAAUGUUACUGUAUACAACAGUAAUGUAAUAAAUUAUUUGUUUGAGUGGUGUGGAAGAAAUUUUUCAUGAAAAAUUAAAGGAAGAUAAAUUGUGAUCAGCAUUGUAAGAGAUUAGUGACACAAUAAAAUAAUUUUUCCAUUAGUGAAGAAUAGUGGUUUAUCUCUUCUUACGGGGGAAGCCUAAUGUUUGGAGAAGACGUAUUUAAGUGGUGGUUGUCUUUAAAUGACGUGAUCAAAUCACAAAGCUCCUGUUUAGUAUACCUUAAAAUAUUCUGGUGCUCGAGACCACUAUAAACUGGAUCAUGCUUUAAUUGUUGGCGCAUAGCUUCUCAGUGCACAAGUGAUGAUCAUUGAAUCUUUUGUGAUGUUUUCUGAAAGAAUAUUCAAUCAUCAUGAAAAUGUUGCUUCUAGAAAUAUUUUCCAUGGCUGAAAUAAGAAUCAUGGAUAAUGAAAUAAAUUAAACAUAUAAUAACGUACUGUGCUUCUUUAAGAAUGUUUAAUUGUCUAGUGGUAUUGGUAUGAAUGCCAUGGAUUUAAAUUAGUUUAACACAAUCUGUUGAAUACAAUGAACUUAAUGUUGAACUUGAACUGUUCAGUCACCUCUUGUUGAUGAAGUGCACAUUCUGUCUUUAAACAGUUAUUUAGUAUACUAUGGUUUUAAUAUAAUAUUUUUAAGUUUGUUUUUAUUAGUUUUAAUUUUUCUAUGAAGGUCCAGUGCUAAGUUUUUUAGGUGGAGGAACCUCAACUAGAUCUUUAUGUUCAUACUAUAUGCCCACAGAAACAGCACGUUACUCUUUACUACAGUCUAAAUGCUGUUUAGUAUUAAAUACUAGCUUUAGGUUGCACCAUAAAUGGUGUCCUAACCCCUAUGAAAUGUGCAGAGCACAUACGGCUCUGAGCAAAAGAAUUGCACUGCAUAUAUACAGGUUACUAUUUGGCACAUAUCCUUUUUGGUCAAGUUGGCCAGGUGAUGUUAUUCAUUUGAAGCAAGGUGUGGCUUUGAUUUUAUGUAUCUGUGUCAGUGUUUUUUGUGCCUAGCUAUAAAUAACUGAUAACAGCUCUUUCCCGUUCUAGAAAUAGAGUCUCCUGAAUUAGACACAGCCUCAGUAGCUUUCAUUAAACGGGGAAAACAUGUUAAUGGUGCAUUGCCAUGGUGAUGAUUUACCGUUUUCUGAAAACCAAUAUUUUAUAAUACUGCUAUCUAUGUCAUAGCUGCAGGCAGAAACAGGAAAAUGCUGAGGUAAUAUGUUACACAUCCCCUGCCUAAGAGCUGUUUAAUAUAUUACAUAAGGUUGAAAUAAACACUUUUUAUGCAUAGCAAAUAUGGUCUGUGGAGGUAAUUAAUAUAGAUAGAUAUCCUAAAUUGUAUUUUUAUGGUAAAAUGUUUUAAUUAAUGUACUAGAGACAAGUCUGCCAACAAUGAUGGCUUCCAACAAUAAAGGCCAGCAGAGUCAAUUCCGUCUUGAAGGUGAAUUUACCAUAGCUCAACUAUUUGAUGUACUAAUGUGUAAAUACUUAACACCAAAACAUAUAUUUAUUUGAAACCAAGGUUGAUCAUGUCCAUCUGGUGUACAGUGCCUGGCUGCAAUAAUUACAAGGAAACACAGAAAAGUGCUAUUCUGUGUUUCAUUUACCCAAUGCAUCAACAUGUAACUACAACAGAUAUUGCAUUUGAAAUGUUCUUGUUAUUAUGAAUCCAUUGAUCCCACUUAUCCCAUGCCAACCAAUAAUACCAUUACCACACAUUCACCAGUAGAAUGUUUUUUGUUUUUGAAAAAAGCUAUACGCUAUAUUCACACAUUCACUGCUUGUUUAGCAAUAAGCAAGUCACAAAUCAAUAGAAUUAACUCAAUUACUUCUGUCUUGGAAACUUAUGUAAUCCAAAUAUAAUUGAUAAAUACAUUCUUUAAUCAAUUUUUUAAUGCCAUAACAGCAGAUUAUGUUGUUCCCACUGUCUUGCAAAGCAUCUUCAUCAGCCUAUGUAUCAGCCAAUGUAUGAUGUAUGGUACAACAUCACCAUUUUAGAUCACUUCCAAAAUAAAUAUUUAUCUCAACUAAGUCUUGUUGAAAAGCCAUUGUGUUUCUGUAAAGUUUAGUUAGCUAGCUAGAUAGCUAUGUGCUGUAUAACAACAAAAACUGGAAAAUUUUCCGGAAUCUGUUCUGUGUACAUGUUUCUA
Long non-coding RNA from Esox lucius (northern pike), 3353 nucleotides. The record is from Ensembl. NCBI's taxonomy places the organism in Eukaryota, Metazoa, Chordata, Actinopteri, Esociformes, Esocidae.